Non-coding RNA from Phrynosoma platyrhinos (Desert horned lizard), 72 nucleotides. The record is from the annotation of a GenBank genome assembly. NCBI's taxonomy places the organism in Eukaryota, Metazoa, Chordata, Lepidosauria, Squamata, Phrynosomatidae.
GCCAGUGUGGUGCAAUGGUUUGAGUGUUGGACUAUGACUCUGUAGACCAGGGUUUGAAUUCCUGCUCAGCCA